Molecule: ribosomal RNA, 497 nt
Filed under: uncultured bacterium
Lineage: Bacteria
Description: partial 16S ribosomal RNA
Rfam family: Bacterial small subunit ribosomal RNA
Source: RNAcentral
GAUGAACGCUGGCGGCGUGCCUAAUACAUGCAAGUCGAGCGAACGGACGAGAAGCUUGCUUCUCUGAUGUUAGCGGCGGACGGGUGAGUAACACGUGGAUAACCUACCUAUAAGACUGGGAUAACUUCGGGAAACCGUAGCUAAUACCGGAUAAUAUUUUGAACCGCAUGGUUCAAAAGUGAAAGACGGUCUUGCUGUCACUUAUAGAUGGUUCCGCGCUGCAUUAGCUAGUUGGUAAGGUAACGGCUUACCAAGGCAACGAUGCAUAGCCGAACUGAGAGGGUGAUCGGCCACACGGGAACUGAGCCACGGUCCAGACUCCUACGGGAGGCAGCAGUAGGGAAUCUUCCGCAAUGGGCGAAAGCCUGACGGAGCAACGCCGCGUGAGUGAUGAAGGUCUUCGGAUCGUAAAGCUCUGUUAUUAGGGAAGAACAUAUGUGUAAGGAACUGUGCACAUCUUGACGGUACCUAAUCAGAAAGCAACGGCUAACUACGUG